UCCAGGAUAGGCUGCCAAAAACUCAGACACUAUUGUUCCUCAUUUAAAUACCACUGUGUAAUAAAUGCAUGGAAAAAUGAAACAAUAGAAGUGUGUGCACCAAUUUAAAAUAUCGUUGGAAAGGUAUGUGCAGAAUACAGUUUUGGUGGGUCCAUGAUACAGCGCAACGCAAACGCAACAUGCCAUGGAUGCCCAAACUUUUAUAACUCUAACGAGAGCUUUAAGUAUCCUGAGUGCUACGAUUUAGUCUCAAAUGUACGUAAAACAAGCAGACCUGUGGUCACUACUACGCCAUCUACUGUAGAGACCACUAUCACAACAGAUAGUAUAACACCAUUAGCACUUUCGAAUCAGAAACAGGUGUCAACAGAACAAGAACAAAAAUCUGAUCUGGAUAUCGA
Saccostrea echinata is the source of this 401-nucleotide long non-coding RNA. RefSeq lists it as uncharacterized. NCBI's taxonomy places the organism in Eukaryota, Metazoa, Mollusca, Bivalvia, Ostreida, Ostreidae. The record is from RefSeq and is a predicted model, not a curated record. The transcript is spliced from 3 exons.